CCCCACUGCUAUCGAGGUGAGACUUAGCCAGGCCAGUCGAACGACUCGGACUAUGGCGAGUAGUGGCAAACUGCUCAGUAACACGUAGCUAACCUACCCUCAGGACGGAGACAACCCCGGGAAACUGGGGUUAAUCCCUGAUAGGCGUGGAUUCCUGGAAUGGUGUCACGCUGAAACGUUAACACACCAUGUUUGUGUACACGCCUGAGGAUGGGGCUGCGGCCGAUCAGGCAGUUGGUGAGGUAACGGCUCACCAAACCUUUGACCGGUACGGGCCGUGAGAGCGGUAGCCCGGAGAUGGACACUGAGACAAGGGUCCAGGCCUUACGAGGCGCAGCAGGCGCGAAACCUCCGCAAUACACGAAAGUGUGACGGGGUUACCCAAAGUGUUCUAUUUAGAACUGUGGUAGGUGAGUAAUGUCCCCUACUAGAAAGGAGAGGGCAAGGCUGGUGCCAGCCGCCGCGGUAAAACCAGCUCUUCAAGUGGUCGGGAUAAUUAUUGGGCUUAAAGUGUCCGUAGCCGGUUUAGUAAGUUCCUGGUAAAAUCGGGUAGCUUAACUAUCUAUAUGCUAGGAAUACUGCUAUACUAGAGGGCGGGAGAGGUCUGAGGUACUACAGGGGUAGGGGUGAAAUCUUAUAAUCCUUGUAGGACCACCAGUGGCGAAGGCGUCAGACUGGAACGCGCCUGACGGUGAGGGACGAAAGCCAGGGGAGCGAACCGGAUUAGAUACCCGGGUAGUCCUGGCCGUAAACGAUGCAUACUAGGUGAUGGCACGGCCAUGAGCCGUGUCAGUGCCGUAGGGAAACCGUUAAGUAUGCCGCCUGUGAAGUACGGUCGCAAGGCUAAAACUUAAAGGAUUGGCGGGGAGCACACAAGGGGUGAAGCCUGCGUCAU
Molecule: ribosomal RNA, 895 nt
Filed under: uncultured archaeon
Lineage: Archaea
Description: bacterial SSU rRNA
Rfam family: Archaeal small subunit ribosomal RNA
Source: RNAcentral